UACGGAGGGGGCUAGCGUUGUUCGGAAUUACUGGGCGUAAAGCGCGCGUAGGCGGCUUCGCAAGUCAGAGGUGAAAGCCCGGAGCUUAACUCCGGAAUUGCCUUUGAGACUGCAUCGCUAGAACGUCGGAGAGGUAAGUGGAAUUCCGAGUGUAGAGGUGAAAUUCGUAGAUAUUCGGAAGAACACCAGUGGCGAAGGCGACUUACUGGACGACUGUUGACGCUGAGGUGCGAAAGCGUGGGGAGCAAACAGG
RNAcentral lists this ribosomal RNA (253 nucleotides) under uncultured bacterium. RNAcentral's name for it is "partial 16S ribosomal RNA". It matches the Rfam family "Bacterial small subunit ribosomal RNA", at positions 524 to 776 of the family's 1533-position model. The record is from RNAcentral.